UCUCCUCUAGCUUAAUAGUGAAAGCGUUAGUUUGAAGAGCUAAAGUUACAAGUUUGUGGGGGGAG
Molecule: transfer RNA, 65 nt
Filed under: Artyfechinostomum sufrartyfex
Lineage: Eukaryota; Metazoa; Platyhelminthes; Trematoda; Plagiorchiida; Echinostomatidae
Also listed under: 1 other name
Description: tRNA-Phe
Rfam family: tRNA
About the family: Transfer RNA (tRNA) molecules are approximately 80 nucleotides in length. Their secondary structure includes four short double-helical elements and three loops (D, anti-codon, and T loops). Further hydrogen bonds mediate the characteristic L-shaped molecular structure. tRNAs have two regions of fundamental functional importance: the anti-codon, which is responsible for specific mRNA codon recognition, and the 3' end, to which the tRNAs corresponding amino acid is attached (by aminoacyl-tRNA synthetases). tRNAs cope with the degeneracy of the genetic code in two manners: having more than one tRNA (with a specific anti-codon) for a particular amino acid; and 'wobble' base-pairing, i.e. permitting non-standard base-pairing at the 3rd anti-codon position.
Source: RNAcentral